This is a non-coding RNA of Rattus norvegicus (Norway rat), 691 nucleotides long. The record is from RefSeq and is a predicted model, not a curated record. Lineage: Eukaryota; Metazoa; Chordata; Mammalia; Rodentia; Muridae.
CUCUCUUUGUCAACACAAAAGGACCAUCUAGUCUAGUAUUAGCAGGAGUGUGAGGUUGAGGAAUCCUCACUCCCUUUUCAUACCUGUUACCAACACACCUGAGGGAACAAUGGAGAGCAAGACUGGGGCUCACUUUCAGAGGUUUUAGCUCAUGUUUGGCUCCAUAUUUUUGGGCAAAACAUUACAGUAGUAGGAGUGUAAGGUAGGCGAGGUUCUUGAAUUCAUCCAGUUAGGAAGUAGAGAACAAGGAAGGGCCAGGGGACAAGCUAUGACCUUAAAAAGCAUAUCUCCAGUGACUCUCUUUCUCCAGCUAGGCCCAUAUCUCAAACUUUUCAUCAUCUCCUCAAAUAACACCAAGGUUUGGAGACCAAGUGUUCAGCACAGUAAUCUUUGAGAGCCAUUUCAGAUUCACACCAUGCCAAGAACUUUGAUGCAGAGGAAGGACCGAAGUUAAACUAGACUGUGCUUUUCUUGGGUGAAAGAAGACACUGAAUUUGCUUAGUGGCUCUCCAGAUGGUUCACACUCAAGCAGAAUAUUAUUUAGGGCUUAGCUAUGGUCAUUGAAGGAGAACACAGUGGACUGGAAACCACAGACCUCAGUUUGAGUCCUGGCUGGGCCACAUCCUAGUCCAGCCUUUGAUGAACCACCAACCCUCAUUCUCUGCAUCAUUAAAGUGGAAAGUGAUGUUCA